GCAUAUCAAUAAGCGGAGGAAAAGAAACCAACAGGGAUUGCCUUAGUAACGGCGAGUGAAGCGGCAACAGCUCAAAUUUGAAAGCUGGCCCUUUUAGGGUCCGCAUUGUAAUUUGUAGAGGAUGAUUCGGCGAGGGCUCCUGCCUAAGUCCCCUGGAACGGGGCGUCAUAGAGGGUGAGAAUCCCGUAUGCGGUAGGUUGCCUUAGCCAUGUGAAUCUCCUUCGACGAGUCGAGUUGUUUGGGAAUGCAGCUCUAAAUGGGAGGUAAAUUUCUUCUAAAGCUAAAUACCGGCCAGAGACCGAUAGCGCACAAGUAGAGUGAUCGAAAGAUGAAAAGCACUUUGGAAAGAGAGUUAAAAAGUACGUGAAAUUGUUGAAAGGGAAGCGCUUGCAACCAGACUUGUCCGCAGUUGCUCAGCCGGUCUCCUGACCGGCGUACUCUUCUGCGGCCAGGCCAGCAUCAGUUCGGGCGGUCGGAUAAAGGCCUCGGGAAUGUGGCUCCUCUCGGGGAGUGUUAUAGCCCGGGGUGCAAUGCGGCCAGCCUGGACUGAGGAACUCGCUUCGGCAAGGAUGCUGGCGUAAUGGUUGUAAGCGGCCCGUCUUGAAACACGGACC
Molecule: ribosomal RNA, 614 nt
Filed under: Lasiodiplodia theobromae
Lineage: Eukaryota; Fungi; Ascomycota; Dothideomycetes; Botryosphaeriales; Botryosphaeriaceae
Description: eukaryotic LSU rRNA
Rfam family: Eukaryotic large subunit ribosomal RNA
Source: RNAcentral